CUCUGACAAUGAUGAGCCUAUGAAUUAUAAUUUUUUUAAAAAAAAUCCUGGUACUUGUAAGGUGUGGUGCUAUGGCUUGUAUACGGUCUGAGUUGGUUCCCCGAGUGUUCAUGGGUCAGAAGCUUGGUCCUCAGUGUUGUGAUGUCGGGAGGUAACAGACCUUUAAGAGGUAGAACUCAGAGGGAGGUCAUUGGGUCACUGGGGACACUACUUUUGGACUGGAUUCAGGUAGUUCUUGUGAGACCCUGGGUUAGUUCUCGUGAGAGAAAGGUGUAAUAAGACAUGCCUGACCCUGGACGUCUCUCUGGUUUCCUGUCUGGCAAUGUGUUCCCACUGUGGGAUCCACCAGAGCCAAGCUCCUGCCAGUACCAUGUCCUUGGACUUCCAAAAUGAUGAGUUAAAUAAAUCUCUUUUCUUUAUAAUGUUAUCCAGCCUUAGGUAUUUUGUUAUAGUAACCAAACCUGAUCUAAUACAUGUGGCUUUGAAAAAUAUCUGCUUAAUAUCCCUAAAUUGCAAGGAAAUUAGUGAGAGUAAGGGCUGGAAAAGGCCGAAGGUGUAAAUCAGCCAUAAGAGAGUUUGGCCUUCCAACUUAGAGAAUGAUCUGUCUCACUGAGUAUCCCAGUGGGUGGCAACCAGUGAAUGACUUGGUUUCAGUGUAACUCUGUUGAUCUCUGUAUACUUCAUCUUUAAAGAAACUGGGAUGGUUUCCCCUCCUGGUGUCUAUGGCAUGUGAGAAAAAGAGGCCCGGAGGACUCCAGAAAGAUGUAACACCCUGAUACAGUGAGGCGCUGAGACAGUGGGCUGGGCCGGAGAGUUUGCUCUUAAAAUGAUUCAUCGUCAGUUCGUUCGUUCCACUUCCGAUUAGCUGCUCUUUCUUAGCAAUCACUAGCAUACUUGUGAAUUCUUGUACCG
RNAcentral lists this long non-coding RNA (912 nucleotides) under Marmota monax (woodchuck). The record is from RNAcentral. Lineage: Eukaryota; Metazoa; Chordata; Mammalia; Rodentia; Sciuridae.